GACGAACCGUGCGAACGUUGUUCGGAAUCACUGGGCUUAAAGGGCGCGUAGGCGGCUUGCCAAGUCAGUGGUGAAAUCCUGCAGCUUAACUGCAGAAGUGCCUUUGAUACUGGCGAGCUCGAGGGAGGUAGGGGUAUGCGGAACUUCUGGUGGAGCGGUGAACUGCGUUGAUAUCAGAAGGAACGCCGGUGGCGAAAGCGGCGUACUGGACCUCUUCUGACGCUGAGGCGCGAAAGCUAGGGGAGCAAACGGG
RNAcentral lists this ribosomal RNA (253 nucleotides) under uncultured bacterium. RNAcentral describes it as "partial 16S ribosomal RNA". It matches the Rfam family "Bacterial small subunit ribosomal RNA", at positions 524 to 776 of the family's 1533-position model. The record is from RNAcentral.